CCCUUAGAUGUUCUGGGCCGCACGCGCGCUACAAUGAUGAAUUCAACGAGUUUAUAACCUUGGUUGAAAAGCCUGGGUAAUCUUUUGAACUUUCGUCGUGAUGGGGCUAGACCCUUGCAAUUAUUGGUCUCCAACGAGGAAUUCCUAGUAAACGCAAGUCAUCGGCUUGCAUUGAUUACGUCCCUGCCCUUUGUACACACCGCCCGUCGCACCUACCGAUUGAAUGGUCCGGUGAAAUCUUCGGAUUGAGACUUUGAUUUCUUCACGGAAAACGCUGUUUUAAAAAGUUGAUUAAACCUUACCAUUUAGAGGAAGGUGAAGUCGUAACA
This 329-nucleotide ribosomal RNA is filed under the name uncultured eukaryote. RNAcentral's name for it is "partial 18S ribosomal RNA". It matches the Rfam family "Eukaryotic small subunit ribosomal RNA", at positions 1470 to 1796 of the family's 1831-position model. The record is from RNAcentral.